RNAcentral lists this ribosomal RNA (497 nucleotides) under uncultured bacterium. RNAcentral's name for it is "partial 16S ribosomal RNA". It matches the Rfam family "Bacterial small subunit ribosomal RNA", at positions 28 to 507 of the family's 1533-position model. The record is from RNAcentral.
GAUGAACGCUGGCGGCGUGCCUAAUACAUGCAAGUCGAGCGAACAGACGAGGAGCUUGCUCCUCUGACGUUAGCGGCGGACGGGUGAGUAACACGUGGAUAACCUACCUAUCAGACUGGGAUAACUUCGGGAAACCGGAGCUAAUACCGGAUAAUAUAUUGAACCGCAUGGUUCAAUAGUGAAAGACGGUUUUGCUGUCACUUAUAGAUGGAUCUGCGCCGCAUUAGCUAGUUGGUAAGGUAACGGCUUACCAAGGCGACGAUGCGUAGCCGACCGGAGAGGGUGAUCGCCCACACGGGAAGUGAGACACGGUCCAGACUCCUACGGGAGGCAGCAGUAGGGAAUCGGCCGCAAUGGGCGAAAGCCUGACGGAGCAACGCCGCGUGAGUGAUGAAGGUCUUCGGAUCGUAAAACUCUGUUAUGAGGGAAGAACAAAUGUGUAAGUAACUAUGCACGUCUUGACGGUACCUAAUCAGAAAGCCACGGCUAACUACGUG